Molecule: long non-coding RNA, 413 nt
Filed under: Nicotiana tabacum (common tobacco)
Lineage: Eukaryota; Viridiplantae; Streptophyta; Magnoliopsida; Solanales; Solanaceae
Description: long non-coding RNA (NTAB_LNC017612)
Source: RNAcentral
UUUCUCCCUCAUUCUAUCUUCUUCUUCCUCCCUCACUCCUCCUUAUCCCCUUCAGCCAGCCAUGGCCUGUUCUUCUUCCAUUAUAGGAGUUCCCUCCAUAUACCAAACCAACCCUUCACGAAGACCUAUCCCUACCCCACUUUUAUCCCUUCCUUACUCCAAUGAAAAAUCCCAUUUUAUUAAUGUUCGUCUCAGACAUGCUUCUCUUGUGGCUUCUGCUGUGGUAACUCCAAAUUCUUCAGUUCUUAGUGAAGAAGCGUUCAAGGGAAUUGGGGGUUUUGGGAAAGACUCUCUGAAUGUUAGCAGCGAACCUGAAUACGAUUCUGAGUCUGAGGUGGAGGAUGAUGAUGAGUCAGGAACUGAGGAUGAACUUGCUAUUUCUAAACUGGGUUUACCUCAGAGACUUGCUGACU